AGAGUUUGAUCCUGGCUCAGAUUGAACGCUGGCGGCAGGCCUAACACAUGCAAGUCGAACGGUAACAGGAAGCAGCUUGCUGCUUUGCUGACGAGUGGCGGACGGGUGAGUAAUGUCUGGGAAACUGCCUGAUGGAGGGGGAUAACUACUGGAAACGGUGGCUAAUACCGCAUAACGUCGCAAGACCAAAGAGGGGGACCUUCGGGCCUCUUGCCAUCAGAUGUGCCCAGAUGGGAUUAGCUAGUUGGUGAGGUAACGGCUCACCAAGGCGACGAUCCCUAGCUGGUCUGAGAGGAUGACCAGCCACACUGGAACUGAGACACGGUCCAGACUCCUACGGGAGGCAGCAGUGGGGAAUAUUGCACAAUGGGCGCAAGCCUGAUGCAGCCAUGCCGCGUGUAUGAAGAAGGCCUUCGGGUUGUAAAGUACUUUCAGCGGGGAGGAAGGUGUUGUGGUUAAUAACCACAGCAAUUGACGUUACCCGCAGAAGAAGCACCGGCUAACUCCGUGCCAGCAGCCGCGGUAAUACGGAGGGUGCAAGCGUUAAUCGGAAUUACUGGGCGUAAAGCGCACGCAGGCGGUCUGUCAAGUCGGAUGUGAAAUCCCCGGGCUCAACCUGGGAACUGCAUUCGAAACUGGCAGGCUUGAGUCUUGUAGAGGGGAGUAGAAUUCCAGGUGUAGCGGUGAAAUGCGUAGAGAUCUGGAGGAAUACCGGUGGCGAAGGCGGCCCCCUGGACAAAGACUGACGCUCAGGUGCGAAAGCGUGGGGGAGCAAACAGGAUUAGAUACCCUGGUAGUCCACGCCGUAAACGAUGUCUACUUGGAGGUUGUGCCCUUGAGGCGUGGCUUCCGGAGCUAACGCGUUAAGUAGACCGCCUGGGGAGUACGGCCGCAAGGUUAAAACUCAAAUGAAUUGACGGGGGCCCGCACAAGCGGUGGAGCAUGUGGUUUAAUUCGAUGCAACGCGAAGAACCUUACCUGGUCUUGACAUCCACAGAAGAAUCCAGAGAUGGAUUUGUGCCUUCGGGAACUGUGAGACAGGUGCUGCAUGGCUGUCGUCAGCUCGUGUUGUGAAAUGUUGGGUUAAGUCCCGCAACGAGCGCAACCCUUAUCCUUUGUUGCCAGCGAUUAGGUCGGGAACUCAAAGGAGACUGCCAGUGAUAAACUGGAGGAAGGUGGGGAUGACGUCAAGUCAUCAUGGCCCUUACGACCAGGGCUACACACGUGCUACAAUGGCGCAUACAAAGAGAAGCGACCUCGCGAGAGCAAGCGGACCUCAUAAAGUGCGUCGUAGUCCGGAUUGGAGUCUGCAACUCGACUCCAUGAAGUCGGAAUCGCUAGUAAUCGUGGAUCAGAAUGCCACGGUGAAUACGUUCCCGGGCCUUGUACACACCGCCCGUCACACCAUGGGAGUGGGUUGCAAAAGAAGUAGGUAGCUUAACCUUCGGGAGGGCGCUUACCACUUUGUGA
This 1470-nucleotide ribosomal RNA is filed under the name Salmonella enterica subsp. enterica serovar Tshiongwe. RNAcentral describes it as "bacterial SSU rRNA". It matches the Rfam family "Bacterial small subunit ribosomal RNA". The record is from RNAcentral. Lineage: Bacteria; Pseudomonadati; Pseudomonadota; Gammaproteobacteria; Enterobacterales; Enterobacteriaceae.